Molecule: ribosomal RNA, 253 nt
Filed under: uncultured bacterium
Lineage: Bacteria
Description: partial 16S ribosomal RNA
Rfam family: Bacterial small subunit ribosomal RNA
Source: RNAcentral
UACGUAGGUCCCAAGCAUUAUCCGGAAUUAUUGGGCGUAAAGCGUCUGUAGGCUGGUGUUUAAGUUGAUAAUGAAAGACCGGGGCUUAACCUCGAGUUUGUUAUCAAAACUGGACAUCUAGGAUUAGGGAGAGGUAAGCAGAAUUCUAAGUGUAGGAGUGCAAUCCGUAGAUACUUAGAGGAAUACCAAAAGCGAAGGCAGCUUACUGGAACUAAAUCGACGCUGAGAGACGAAAGCGUGGGUAGCGAAAAGG